CAACUUGACCUGCCAACGACCAUCGUACUUCCUACUUCUUCAUUUUCAUAGUUCAGCUUUAGUCUUCACAGUGCUUUGCUUCAGUGAACACCUUAUCACAGUCCUCAAGUAAUAUUCAAGGCGUGCGUAGCUGUAGACAGUGUAGACAGCAGAGAAAUGCUGUAUUAUGGUAGACAGUGUAGGGCCGGUAUUCAGUGACAUUCCACUACUUCGAGAAUGCGUUAUGUUAUUAGUGUUGUGCCAUCUAUUGAAGAUAUCGAUCAAAUUGCAGUAAGUCUUCAUUCAUGUGUCACAGUAUUGGAGAUGAGAGGACGGGUGUAACAGCAAAUCAAGAAUGGCAGAUUGUAGAAACACCCAUUCAAGAGUUCUUCUGUUCACUUUUAAUUUUGCGAGCAACCUUUUCUUUGAAGACUGAUCCAUGACGUUGGAACAAUCUGCCUAGGAAUAUUGAAUGUUAACUCCUUUUACAUCAUACUUAUCAUCAUCCAGGAAGGAUCCACCGCAACAAGAAGAUAUGGAUGAAAAGUUGCAGAGGCUCUGUCUAGUCCAUUUGGUCAAACUUACCGACCGUCAAAUAAGAAAGUGGAAAAGAUCCAAAAGUCAAGUGCCAUGUUUGAAAGUACAGAUACCAAUGCAUAGAUUAAAAUGGAGAAUAAACAGAAGAAUUCAGAAAAAACUUGAAGAAUUGUUUGGAUAUGAUGAUGAAUUCCCAUUUUCAACACUUGUGCCAGAACCUGUUAACAACAAUACAAAAAUAAAUUCAAAUGACAACAACAAAAAUACUCUUGCUGAUGAACUUGUCUUUGAAACUGUUAACAACAAUACACAGAUAAAUUCAAAUGACAACAACAAAAAUACUCUUGCUGAUGAACUUGUCUUUGAAACUGUUAACAACAAUACACAAAUAAAUUCAAAUGAGAACAACAAAAAUACUCUUGCUGAUGAACUUGUCUUUGAAACUGUUAACAACAAUACACAAAUAAAUUCAAAUGAGAACAACAAAAAUACUCUUGCUGAUGAACUUGUCCUUGAAAAUCUACAUGAGACCCCCACACUGCAUCAUGAUGAGGCUCAAUGGAAACCCUCACAACAACCAAAACAACUUGAAACAAAUGAAACUAUUGAUUUUGAUCUCAAUGACACAGCUAUGGUUGAUAAACUUUUCCCGAGUUACCCACGAUUUCCUCGUAUCUCAAUCCCUGCAGAUACUGUAAUGCUCUUUGAUGAGGAAUUGAUCAGAAAAUCAACAAUUGGUAUUGCAGAAGACAGAGAACAAAGUAUUGUGAAGACAGCAGAAUGUUUGGACAGGACAAGUGAUCAUGGCUCUAUAAAAACUGAAGUAGAUGAUGAUGAUGAUGUAGUGUUUGUCGGGGAGAAGACAAUUCAGCCCACACCAACUGAAAAAUCUGUAAUCCGUGUCAGGUCACCAAAUUUCUUGGGGAUUGACUCCUGUGGUCGCAUGGACAAUGCUUUACAACAAAAUAAUGAUUGUUCCAGCGAAGAUGAUCCAGGUAAAAUUUCUAGAAAUAAGAGUACCAGUAAUCAAUGGUAUGAAGUGAAGAUUCGGCUGAAACUUCCAGAAACAACUGAGGAAACUCCAAAUGUUGAGAUUGAGCAUACAACUUCAACGUUAGCAUUCCCAGUGUCUGCAACUAAUAUAAAUAUUCUUGAUAACCCUCCAACUUACAACUACUCAGCUGCACAAUACUCCGGUGGUAGAACAAACAACAAACAGCCAAAUCAACAAUCACUCAACCAGCAUAAUCCGUUCAGUAUGGAUGAAGAUGCCAACAAAUGGUCACAAUUGCCACCAGGCCUAACAAGACAAGAAUUCAAUGUUUGGGCUACUCAACCAUUCAGUGAGGCAUCACCAGCUAUAUCAGUAAAUCAACAAAAACCUUCAACGGAUUUCAGCAAUAGUCAGCAGCUAUUGAGGCCCACAUACAGUGGGACACCACCAGCAACUCCAAUAAAUCAGCAAAGGCCGUCAGCAGAUUUCAGCAAUAGUCAGCAGUUAUCAAGGCCCACAUACAGUGGGGCACCACCAGCAAUAUCAUUAAAUCAGCAAAGGCCCCCAGCAGAUUUCAGCAAUAGUCAGCAGCUGUCAAGGCCCACUUACAGUGGGUCACCACCUGAAAUAUCAGUAAAUCAACAAAGGCCUUCAACAGAUUUCAGCAAUAGUCAGCAGCUAUCAAGGCCCACAUACAGUGGGGCACCACUAGAAAUACCAGUAGAUCAACAAAGGCCUUCAACAGAUUUUAGCAAUAGUCAGCCAUUAUUAAGGCCCACAUACAGCGGAACACUACCAGCAACUCCAAUAAAUCAGCAAAGGCCUUUAACAGAUUUCAGCAAUAGUCAGCAGCUAUCAAGGCCCACAUACAGUACGGCACCACCAGCAAUACCAGUGAAUCAACAAAGGCCUUCAACAGAUAUCAGCAAUAGGCAGCAGUUAUCAAGGCCUACAUACAGUGGGGCACCACCAGCAAUACCAUUAAAUCAGCAAAGGCCUCCAGCAGAUUUCAGCAAUAGUAAGCCAUUAUCAAGGCCUACAUACAGUGGGGCCCCACCAGCAAUACAAAUGAAUCAGCAAAGGCCUUUAACAGAUUUCAGCAAUAGUCAGCCAUUAUCAAGGCCCACAAACAGUGGAGCACCACCAGAAAUACCAGUAAAUCAACAAACGCCUUCAACAGAUUUUAGCAAUAGUCAGCCAUUAUUAAGGCCCACAUACAGUGGAACACUACCAGCAACUCCAAUAAAUCAACAAACGCCUUCAACAGAUUUUAGCAAUAGUCAGCCAUUAUUAAGGCCCACAUACAGUGGAACACUACCAGCAACUCCAAUAAAUCAGCAAAGGCCUCCAGCAGAUUUCAGCAAUAGUCAGCAGUUAUCAAGGCCUACAUACAGUGGUGCCCCACCAGCAAUACAAUUGAAUCAGCAAAGGCCUUUAACAGAUUUCAGCAAUAGUCAGCAGCUAUCAAGGCCCACAUACAGUACGGCACCACCAGCAAUACCAGUAAAUCAACAAAGGCCUUCAACAGAUAUCAGCAAUAGGCAGCAGUUAUCAAGGCCUACAUACAGUAGGGCACCACCAGCAAUACCAGUAAAUCAACAAAGGCCUUCAACAGUUAUCAGCAAUAGUCAGCAGCUAUCAAGGCCCACAUACAGUGGGGCACCACCAGCAAUACCAGUAAAUCAACAAAGGCCUUCAACAGAUAUCAGCAAUAGGCAGCAGUUAUCAAGGCCUACAUAUAGUGGGGCCCCACCAGCAAUACCAGUAAAUCAGCAAAUGCCUUUAACAGAUUUCAGCAAUAUUCAGCAGUUAUCAAGGCCCACAUACAGUGAAGCACCACCAGAAAUACCAGUAAAUCAGCAAAGGCCUUUAACAAUUUUCAGCAAUUGUCAGCAGUUAUCAAGACCCACAUACAUUGGGGCACCACCAGAAAUACCAGUAAAUCAGCAAAGGCAUUCAGCAGGUAUCAGCAAUUGUCAGCAGUUAUCAAGGCCCACAUACAGUGGGGCACAACCAGCAAUACCAGUAAAUUUGCAAAGGUCUUCAUCAGAUAUCAGCAAUUGUCAGCCGUUUUCAAAUCCCACACACAGUGGGGCACCACCACCAAUACUGCCAGCUGAGAAUGUUGAGAAUUUUCUGGGAGGAAUUCAGGUGCAAUCUAAACUACCAGACCUUUCUGAGGACCCAAACCUAUCAGAAUUACUCGAUUCAAUGCUUGAAAUCAAUCCAGUAUCAAAUAUGAUAUACAGCAACCAUGGUGAGCAUUUGCCUACAAGAGGCAUUAGGGGCGCCAGUAGGAGAGCAAGAGGCAGUAGAGGGGCCAGAUCUGCGAGAGGCACUAGAGGUGCCAGAGGCACUAGAGGUGUCAGGGGCACUAGGGGUGCCAGAGGCACUAGAGGUGCCUCAAUUGCAACAUUUGCCUGUACGUCAAGUGAUUCCUCUUGCUACCAACAUUCAGCUGAUUCAGCUGACCAGCAACCAUUCACUAUGAUAUCAAAAAUUAUUAGAUUAAAUGUUGAUGCUGUCGAAGUAAGUUACAAUAUUGAUCAUCAGUGUAUGAGAAUAAGACACGCAGAUUCCGCGAUUGUAUCAGCUUGUGUUCAACAAGAAAAUUGUGGAACUUAUUGUGUUAAUUCAUAUUUAAAAUGAAUAUAAAUAGGUUAUGGUUUGAAGUUGAAUUGACAGUGAGAAAAGCAGAUUUUACAUGUGUUGAAACAAUUGUAAAGUCAAACAGUGCGUCAUUUUACUUCUCAUCAUUUCUUUUGAAAGAGUAUAACCAACAACUAUUGGUAUGGCGGAUAUCCACACAACAAUAAUACAUGAAAGACUGUAGGGCCCGGUUGUUUAAAAACAUGUUGAAUUUAAAUUAUGAUUUAAUUUUUAGAGAACCAAUCUGAGUAGGGUUUUCUGUAAAGAGGGCUUCUGUGUUUGACUUUCGUGGCAUUUAGUCAACAGACUUUUGAGCAACCGGGUGAGUGCCAUCAAUUGUAGGCCUAUAUAUCACGGUAUGGCAAUUCCUUGAUUAGUGAUUAGGCUACACAUAUAUGACUUGAAGACUGAAUUACUAGAUUAGUCUCUAAGUGAGACAUAUUCAUAAUCAUAGCUUUAAGUGAGUCGAGUUCAGUAUCUAAACUACUGCUCUUUUAAUAUUAUAGUAUUUGUAAGAGUACUCUAUGAUCCUCGUUCUACCAUACCGAUUUAGGAACUGGAGAAUUGCCUUCCUGUUAUUGAAGUGUUUGUAAUAUUAGUGAUUGAAUAGGCCUACCUACUACAAGUAGUUUUGUACGUACUUUCAUGUUAUUGAUGUAUUUUUUUAU
RNAcentral lists this unclassified non-coding RNA (4827 nucleotides) under Nilaparvata lugens (brown planthopper). RNAcentral describes it as "dual specificity protein kinase splA, transcript variant X20". The record is from RNAcentral. Lineage: Eukaryota; Metazoa; Arthropoda; Insecta; Hemiptera; Delphacidae.